GGUUUGGGGACGGUGCCGUGGGUGACAGCGCUGCGCGGAUAUUGGGGACAGCAGUGUCCCCAGGUGUCACCUCAUGGGUGACAGCAGUGUCCCCAAGGCACCAUUGCUGUCCUGUGGGUGCCACAGGUGACAGCAGUGUCCCCAAGGCGCCAUUGCUGCCCCACAUCCCCACCAGUUCCCACGACCCCACAUCUUUACCCACACCCCCAUAUCUCCAUAUCUGCCCCACAUCCCACAUCUGCCCCACAUCCCACAUCUGCCCCCAUGGCCCCAUCUGCCCCACAUCCCCAAAUCCCCACACCAGUUCCCAUGGCCCCACGCCCCCACAUCCCACAUCUGCCCCACAUCCCACAUCUGCCCCAAUACCCCCUUAUCUACCCUACACCCCCUCUUUCCCCUACCUGCCCCACAUCCCACAUCCGCCCCACAUCUCC
Molecule: long non-coding RNA, 434 nt
Filed under: Phasianus colchicus (ring-necked pheasant)
Lineage: Eukaryota; Metazoa; Chordata; Aves; Galliformes; Phasianidae
Description: lncRNA (ENSPCLG00000017349.1)
Source: RNAcentral